UUCAUGUAUAUCAUAGAUCAAUAAUUUUCCUCAAGAUUCAUAUAAAUGGCUAUUCUAGUUUGGUACCCAAGUUUUUGUGCCAUUUUUGUUCUUAUUCUUGUAACAGGUGGCAUGGGAGAUACUCCAACAAAAAUGGAGAAUAUUAUGAAUGGUGGAGAUGAUUUAGAUUAUGUUUAUCAAUGUACAGCAAAUUUAGGUCCAUGUAAUUAUGACAUUUGCCAAGAUGCUUGUUGUAUUAAGCUAUGUAAUAAUUAUUAUAGUGGACUUCACCCUAGUCCAAAGUGUGAGGAUUUGGGACCUAAAUUUCAGGAUAAAUUUUGUAUUUGUAGGCAUGAUUGUUAUAAAAACUAAUACAAAUCUUAUAUUAUAUAAAUAAUACUUAAUUUGGAUAUUAUAUAUAUCCAAAGAAUUGAGAAUAA
This is a long non-coding RNA of Solanum pennellii, 419 nucleotides long. RefSeq lists it as uncharacterized. The record is from RefSeq and is a predicted model, not a curated record. NCBI's taxonomy places the organism in Eukaryota, Viridiplantae, Streptophyta, Magnoliopsida, Solanales, Solanaceae. The transcript has 2 exons.